Long non-coding RNA from Topomyia yanbarensis, 466 nucleotides. RefSeq lists it as uncharacterized. NCBI's taxonomy places the organism in Eukaryota, Metazoa, Arthropoda, Insecta, Diptera, Culicidae. The record is from RefSeq and is a predicted model, not a curated record. The transcript has 3 exons.
GUAAUCUCGAUAAUUUGAACUUUACAAGUCGACUCAGCUCCGUUUAGUUUCGUAAGCAUCGGGACUUGGACUCCCAAUUGCAUAACGCUUUGUUCGGUCGUUGUCGCCGAUCAUAAUCGUCGAAAACAUGACGAGGAAGUAAGUGUCAGCAGUAAUCUCAUGCAACACCCAUAGUUACGAGGGCAUCAGUCGGUAGUGUUGGACAGCUAAACCCAAGCUAUCACCUUGUCGCACCGCAUUCAUUGUCCGUUGCGCAUCUAAACUAUCCGACGACUACAUACACGCGAGUACCACCUCAGCUAUAAACCGAGGGAAAUAUGUACCUGGUUGCUGGCGGCACUGUGGGCAUUACACAAAACAAUAGCUCUCCUCCGAAAGCAGCCAACCGCAUGUGUAUUCAACGAAUGCAACCAACCGCUGAGAUGAGCAAGUGAUGAUAAGGACUCUGCUGUAACCAGCCAGUGCC